This 513-nucleotide ribosomal RNA is filed under the name uncultured bacterium. Its description in RNAcentral is "bacterial SSU rRNA". It matches the Rfam family "Bacterial small subunit ribosomal RNA", at positions 28 to 512 of the family's 1533-position model. The record is from RNAcentral.
GAUGAACGCUAGCGACAGGCCUAACACAUGCAAGUCGAGGGGCAUCGGGACGUAGCAAUACGUUGCCGGCGACCGGCGGAUGGGUGAGUAACGCGUAUGCAACCUACCCGUAGCAGGGGGAUAGCCCGUUGAAAGACGGAUUAAUACCCCGUAACACAGGGGCUCCGCAUGGAGGUUAUUGUUAAAGGGUCAUUUCUUUUUCAGGGAUGGUCCGGCUGCGGAUGGGCAUGCGUUCCAUUAGGUAGUUGGUGUAGGUAACUGCUCACCAAGCCGACGAUGGAUAGGGGAACUGAGAGGUUGGUCCCCCACACUGGUACUGAGACACGGACCAGACUCCUACGGGAGGCAGCAGUGAGGAAUUUUGGUCAAUGGACGCAAGUCUGAACCAGCCAUGUCGCGUGAAGGAGGACGGCCCUAAGGGUUGUAAACUUCUUUUGCAGUGGAAUAAAGUUUGCCACGUGUUGGCGAUUUGCAAGUACGCUGCGAAUAAGGAUCGGCUAACUCCGUGCCAGC